AGCAGCCGCGGUAAUUCCAGCUCCAAUAGCGUAUAUUAAAGUUGUUGCAGUUAAAAAGCUCGUAGUUGAAUUUCGGGAUUAGUACGUUGGUCGUGCCUUCGGUACGUACUGGUGUUACUGAUUCCUACCUUCUGACGAACCAUCAUGUCAUUAAUUUGGUGUGGCGGGGAAUCAGGACUGUUACUUUGAAAAAAUUAGAGUGUUUAAAGCAGGCUCGCGCUUGAAUACAUUAGCAUGGAAUAAUGAAAUAGGACGUUGACCCUAUUUUGUUGGUUUCUAGGAUUGACGUAAUGAUUAAUAGGGAUAGUUGGGGGCAUUAGUAUUCAAUUGUCAGAGGUGAAAUUCUUGGAUUUAUUGAAGACUAACUACUGCGAAAGCAUUUGCCAAGGAUGUUUUCAUUAAUCAAGAACGAAAGUUAGGGGAUCGAAGACGAUCAGAUACCGUCGUAGUCUUAACCAUAAACUAUGCCGACUAGGGAUCGGAUGAUGUUAUUUUUAAUGACUCAUUCGGCGCCUUACGG
RNAcentral lists this ribosomal RNA (520 nucleotides) under uncultured Glomus. Its description in RNAcentral is "SSU rRNA". It matches the Rfam family "Eukaryotic small subunit ribosomal RNA", at positions 569 to 1093 of the family's 1831-position model. Lineage: Eukaryota; Fungi; Glomeromycota; Glomeromycetes; Glomerales; Glomeraceae. The record is from RNAcentral.